This 253-nucleotide ribosomal RNA is filed under the name uncultured bacterium. Its description in RNAcentral is "partial 16S ribosomal RNA". It matches the Rfam family "Bacterial small subunit ribosomal RNA", at positions 524 to 776 of the family's 1533-position model. The record is from RNAcentral.
UACGGGGGGGGCAAGCGUUGUUCGGAAUUACUGGGCGUAAAGGGCUCGUAGGUGGCCAACUAAGUCAGACGUGAAAUCCCUCAGCUUAACUGGGGAACUGCGUCUGAUACUGGAUGGCUUGAGUUUGGGAGAGGGAUGCGGAAUUCCAGGUGUAGCGGUGAAAUGCGUAGAUAUCUGGAGGAACACCAAUGGCGAAGGCAGCUUCUUGGUCCAUAACUGACGCUCAUGCACGAAAGCGUGGGGAGCAAACAGG